This 514-nucleotide ribosomal RNA is filed under the name uncultured bacterium. RNAcentral's name for it is "bacterial SSU rRNA". It matches the Rfam family "Bacterial small subunit ribosomal RNA", at positions 88 to 638 of the family's 1533-position model. The record is from RNAcentral.
UACAGCAGUGGCAGACGGGUGAGUAACACGUGGGAACCUUCCUAGGGGUACGGAACAACUCAGGGAAACUUGAGCUAAUACCGUAUACGUCCGUGAGGAGAAAGAUUUAUCGCCCUUAGACGGGCCCGCGUCGGAUUAGCUAGUUGGUGGGGUAACGGCCUACAAGGCGACGAUCCGUAGCUGAUCUUAGAGGAUGAUCAGCCACACUGGGACUGAGACACGGCCCAGACUCCUACGGGAGGCAGCAGUGGGGAAUCUUGGACAAUGGGCGCAAGCCUGAUCCAGCCAUGCCGCGUGAGUGAAGAAGGUCUUCGGAUUGUAAAGCUCUUUUACCAGGGACGAUAAUGACGGUACCUGGAGAAUAAGCCCCGGCAAACUUCGUGCCAGCAGCCGCGGUAAUACGAAGGGGGCUAGCGUUGUUCGGAAUUACUGGGCGUAAAGCGCACGUAGGCGGGUCGUUAAGUCAGGGGUGAAAUCCCGGAGCUCAACUCCGGAACUGCCUUUGAUACUGGCG